UCACGGUCAGGAACAGGGAAGAUUUCAAUUUGACUGUUUGUUAGGAGGCCUAAGAGGCAGAUGUCAGCACCCGAACAAACUCCAAUCACAGCAGCGUGCCAUUUGCACUAGCACCAUGCCAGUGACCAUGUGGGCAGCAGGAUUAUCCCCAACUUCCUGGUGGAGAGCCAAAAGCAUGAUGGGAAACAGGAAAUUGACAAGUGACCUGACAGGAGGACUGUCAUCUGCUGCGGAGCUGAGUGAAGCCAAGAUGACAUAACAACAUGGUUGCUGAAACGUUUUGUUUUAGAUGACAUUUCCUUUUGUUUUACGUGUCUCCAUGAAAUAUCUGGGUAAAUACCUGUUACAGAAGCGUACAUUAAUGCAAUAAUGUACCAUUCCUCACAGCGGUUAGUACUGUGUAUUUAGCUAGAUUGAUAUGUUCUGCUGCUUGGCUGACUCUGGAUGUAUUACAAAUGUGAACAAUGUGAACAAUUGAUCUGAACAAAUGUCUGUCUUUACACCGCAUGUGAACAUGGUCUUCUGUCCGCAUGCAUGACCUCUCCUGAAGGACAAAGACAGUCUCAUAUUUCACCCAUUAAAACAAUUGUUCUGCUCUAAAGUCACCUUGUCCCUGCAGUAGCAGCAGCACACUGCAGAGAAGGCCCCCAGCUACUCUCUCUCUCCCCCCUCCUCUCUGUUGGGCAGUAACUGAUUACAUGUAAUCUGAUUACCAAAAACAACGGCGUAAUCAGGUACAUUACCAGAAAAAAUGUUGCAAUCAAAUUACAGAUACUUUUGAAAAAAUACUAGAUGAUUACUUCUUGGAUUACUUUUCAAAAAUAAAUACAUUGACACCA
Molecule: long non-coding RNA, 839 nt
Organism: Oncorhynchus gorbuscha (pink salmon)
Lineage: Eukaryota; Metazoa; Chordata; Actinopteri; Salmoniformes; Salmonidae
Exons: 2
Source: RefSeq, a predicted model, not a curated record